UACGGAGGGUGCGAGCGUUACUCGGAAUUACUGGGCGUAAAGCGCGCGUAGGCGGCUUUGCAAGUCGGGGGUGAAAUCCCCAGGCUUAACCUGGGAACUGCAUUCGAGACUGCAUUGCUAGAGUAUGGGAGAGGGAAGUGGAAUUUCCGGUGUAGCGGUGAAAUGCGUAGAUAUCGGAAGGAACAUCAGUGGCGAAAGCGACUUCCUGGACCAAUACUGACGCUGAUGUGCGAAAGCGUGGGGAGCAAACAGG
This 253-nucleotide ribosomal RNA is filed under the name uncultured bacterium. RNAcentral describes it as "partial 16S ribosomal RNA". It matches the Rfam family "Bacterial small subunit ribosomal RNA", at positions 524 to 776 of the family's 1533-position model. The record is from RNAcentral.